GCAGGUUCUCCUACGGCUACCUUGUUACGACUUCACCCCAAUCAUCUGUCCCACCUUAGACGGCUGGCUCCUUGCGGUUACCCCACCGGCUUUGGGUGUUACAAACUCUCAUGGUGUGACGGGCGGUGUGUACAAGGCCCGGGAACGUAUUCACCGCGACAUGCUGAUUCGCGAUUACUAGCGAUUCCGACUUCAUGUAGGCGAGUUGCAGCCUACAAUCCGAACUGAGAACGGCUUUAAGAGAUUAGCUAAACCUCGCGGUCUCGCGACUCGUUGUACCGUCCAUUGUAGCACGUGUGUAGCCCAGGUCAUAAGGGGCAUGAUGACUUGACGUCGUCCCCACCUUCCUCCGGUUUGUCACCGGCAGUCUCGCCAGAGUGCCCAACUUAAUGCUGGCAACUGACAACAAGGGUUGCGCUCGUUGCGGGACUUAACCCAACAUCUCACGACACGAGCUGACGACAGCCAUGCACCACCUGUCACUUUGUCCCCGAAGGGAAAGCCUAAUCUCUUAGGUGGUCAAAGGAUGUCAAGACCUGGUAAGGUUCUUCGCGUUGCUUCGAAUUAAACCACAUGCUCCACCGCUUGUGCGGGCCCCCGUCAAUUCCUUUGAGUUUCAACCUUGCGGUCGUACUCCCCAGGCGGAAUGCUUAUUGCGUUAGCUGCGGCACUGAAGGGCGGAAACCCUCCAACACCUAGCAUUCAUCGUUUACGGCGUGGACUAUCAGGGUAUCUAAUCCUGUUUGCUACCCACGCUUUCGAACCUCAGCGUCAGUUACAGACCAGAGAGCCGCUUUCGCCACUGGUGUUCUUCCAUAUAUCUACGCAUUUCACCGCUACACAUGGAGUUCCACUCUCCUCUUCUGCACUCAAGUCUUCCAGUUUCCAAUGCACUACUCCGGUUAAGCCGAAGGCUUUCACAUCAGACUUAAAAGACCGCCUGCGUUCCCUUUACGCCCAAUAAAUCCGGACAACGCUUGCCACCUACGUAUUACCGCGGCUGCUGGCACGUAGUUAGCCGUGACUUGCUGGUUAGAUACCGUCAUCGAAUGAACAGUUACUCUCACUCGUGUUCUUCUCUAACAACAGAGUUUUACGAUCCGAAGACCUUCUUCACUCACGCGGCGUUGCUCCAUCAGACUUGCGUCCAUUGUGGAAGAUUCCCUACUGCUGCCUCCCGUAGGAGUUUGGGCCGUGUCUCAGUCCCAAUGUGGCCGAUCAACCUCUCAGUUCGGCUACGUAUCAUCACCUUGGUAGGCCGUUACCCCACCAACUAGUUAAUACGCCGCGGGUCCAUCUAAAAGCGAUAGCAGAACCAUCUUUCAUCUAAGGAUCAUGCGAUCCUUAGAGAUAUACGGUAUUAGCACCUGUUUCCAAGUGUUAUCCCCUUCUUUUAGGCAGGUUACCCACGUGUUACUCACCCGUCCGCCACUCAACUUCUUACGGUGAAUGCAAGCAUUCGGUGUAAGAAAGUUUCGUUCGACUUGCAUGUAUUAGGCACGCCGCCAGCGUUCGUC
RNAcentral lists this ribosomal RNA (1517 nucleotides) under Ligilactobacillus salivarius CECT 5713. RNAcentral's name for it is "Lactobacillus salivarius CECT 5713 16S ribosomal RNA". Lineage: Bacteria; Bacillati; Bacillota; Bacilli; Lactobacillales; Lactobacillaceae. The record is from RNAcentral.